Long non-coding RNA from Cololabis saira (Pacific saury), 333 nucleotides. RefSeq lists it as uncharacterized. The transcript is spliced from 4 exons. Lineage: Eukaryota; Metazoa; Chordata; Actinopteri; Beloniformes; Belonidae. The record is from RefSeq and is a predicted model, not a curated record.
UGCCGGAAAUAUAAAGAAGAAGAAGAAGACGUUCCGUCCGCAUUCAUCAUGGCUCCUCCGGUCGUAGUGUCACCGCUCAUUAAGACGGCCAGAUGGUCCGCCCUGCUGCUCGGAGUGAUAUAUGGCAAACAGAGGUUUGAUUACCUCAAACCCAUCGCUGAGGAGGAGAAGAGGGUUGAAGAAGCUGAGAAGAAGGUUAGAGAGGAGCGGGAGCGCAUCUACAAACAAUUGUCUGAAGGAAAUUCUGACACCAUCCUUAAAUGAACUGCAUCUGGACCUAUGCUGAUAUAUUCUAAACUUAAUAAAAAAUGUGAAUAUUUUUUCAUGUAAUAA